Non-coding RNA from Glycine max (soybean), 74 nucleotides. The record is from Rfam. Lineage: Eukaryota; Viridiplantae; Streptophyta; Magnoliopsida; Fabales; Fabaceae.
GGUCUAUUAGUUCAGUUAGUUAGAGUGUUGUGUUAAUAACGCGAAAGUCUCAAGUUCGAUUCCUGCUUGAACCA